AGAACGAACGUUAGCGGCGCGCCUAACACAUGCAAGUCGAACGCGACUGGGGCAACCCAGUUGAGUGGCGCACGGGUGAGUAACACGUAGGUAAUCUCCCCCCGAGUGGUGGAUAACCUUCCGAAAGGAGGGGCUAAUACAGCAUAAGACCACGGCUUCGAAAGGAGCUGAGGUCAAAGCGGAGGAUCGCAAGACUUCGCGCUUGGGGAUGAGCCUGCGGCCCAUCAGGUAGUUGGCGGAGUAAAAGCCCACCAAGCCUAAGACGGGUAGCUGGUCUGAGAGGAUGAUCAGCCACACUGGAACUGAGACACGGUCCAGGACUCCUACGGGAGCAGGCAGUGGGAAUCGUUGCGCAAUGGACGAAAGUCUGACGCAGCGACGCCGCGUGGGUGAGUGAAGGUCCUUCGGUUAGUAAAGCCCGUGGUGGGAGGACGAAGUAAGUGUCGUUAAGUACCGGCAGUGAUGACGUACUCUUAG
RNAcentral lists this ribosomal RNA (477 nucleotides) under uncultured soil bacterium. RNAcentral describes it as "bacterial SSU rRNA". It matches the Rfam family "Bacterial small subunit ribosomal RNA", at positions 26 to 484 of the family's 1533-position model. The record is from RNAcentral.